This is a long non-coding RNA of Canis lupus familiaris (dog), 225 nucleotides long. RefSeq lists it as uncharacterized. The transcript is spliced from 3 exons. The record is from RefSeq and is a predicted model, not a curated record. Lineage: Eukaryota; Metazoa; Chordata; Mammalia; Carnivora; Canidae.
CUUUCUUGUUUCUUUUUAUCCAUUUCCCACUUUCUAUUUGAAUGGAUCAUUUCUUAAUUCCCACUGAAGAAAUAAAACCUCAUAACAAAGUAUCUAGGAGGAAGCAAUAAUCAAUGUGAACAUAACAUAUAUAAAUGUCUUUUCCCACCUGUCGUGGUGUGCUGGUACCAGCUUGAUCAACUCUCCAGAAGUGAUUUUUUAAAUUUUUAGGAAUUUUGUGAGCCC